Molecule: long non-coding RNA, 441 nt
Filed under: Mustela putorius furo (domestic ferret)
Lineage: Eukaryota; Metazoa; Chordata; Mammalia; Carnivora; Mustelidae
Description: lncRNA (ENSMPUG00000032000.1)
Source: RNAcentral
GUUGGGAUAGAAGUAGGACUAAUAGCCCAUGUCUGAUAUGUUACUAGUUGUCAUUUUAUUUACUCUUUUGUGUGUUUUUUCCCUUUAUAUUUUCAUAGAUUGCUAGCCAGUGCAAUCCUGACUCUUAUUUUGAAGAUGCCAGCCCUCCUAACAAAUCCUGCUGACUGAAGAAAGACUGUUCCUAAUUUUCAGAGGAGUCAUUAUCUCCUGUGUAUAUAGGAACAUUGUUGUACCCUGGACAGUAAAAGUGACUUCAUCACCGUUGGUCAUUGUACCCCACACAAAAAUCAUCAGCCUCUGUAAGAAGAACCUCCAUGAGGUCCAGGUGGGGAACAGGACUCUAGCAGUCUCUAAUCUUGACCACCAUCACCUCAACCAGCAAGGACUUACACAGGUGGGUUUCGUUUCACUUUUGUCUCUUUGCCAGGGAACGUCCCUUUG